Molecule: ribosomal RNA, 540 nt
Filed under: uncultured bacterium
Lineage: Bacteria
Description: bacterial SSU rRNA
Rfam family: Bacterial small subunit ribosomal RNA
Source: RNAcentral
UCGAACGGGCUAGUGCUUCGCACUAGUCUCUUUCUGGGGUUGUUACUCUAAGGCUACCUGCUAAAGUUAUUGCUUAAAGCAGGGGUUUUAGGAGACUUUCCCCGAAAGGGGCCAGUGCGGAGCACUGGCCAGUGGCGAACGGGUGAGUAACACGUGGGUAAUCUACCCUCGAGUGGGGGAAUAAGCUUCCGAAAGGGGGUCGUAAUGCCGCAUAACGUUUCAUAACGAUGGUUAUGAAACCAAAGCCCAAAAGGCGCUCGAGGAGGAGCCUGCGUCCUAUCAGCUUGUUGGCAGGGUAAUGGCCUACCAAGGCUAUGACGGGUAGCCGGCCUGAGAGGGUGUCCGGCCACACUGGAACUGAGACACGGUCCAGACUCCUACGGGAGGCAGCAGUGGGGAAUUUUGCGCAAUGGGGGAAACCCUGACGCAGCGACGCCGCGUGGAGGAUGACGGCCUUCGGGUUGUAAACUCCUGUCAGAAGGGACGAAAUCCCGCAAGGGACUGACGGUACCUUCAGAGGAAGCCCCGGCUAACUACGUG